This 462-nucleotide ribosomal RNA is filed under the name uncultured bacterium. RNAcentral describes it as "partial 16S ribosomal RNA". It matches the Rfam family "Bacterial small subunit ribosomal RNA", at positions 28 to 507 of the family's 1533-position model. The record is from RNAcentral.
GAUGAACGCUGACAGAAUGCUUAACACAUGCAAGUCUUUGGCGAAGCUGUGCUUGCACAGCCUAGCCAAGGCGGACGGGUGAGUAACGCGUAAGGAACUUGCCCUGCAGUCAGGGAUAACAGACGGAAACGACUGAUAAGACCUGGUAAAGUCAGGCGGACUCAUGUCCAGCCUGAUGAAAAGAGAUGCUGCAGGAGAGCCUUGCGUCCUAUUAGCUUGUUGGUGGGGUAACGGCCCACCAAGGCGAUGAUAGGUAGCCGGCCUGAGAGGGUGGACGGCCACAAGGGGACUGAGAUACGGCCCUUACUCCUACGGGAGGCAGCAGUGGGGAAUAUUGGACAAUGGGGGCAACCCUGAUCCAGCAAUUCUGUGUGCACGAUGAAGGUUUUCGGAUGGUAAAGUGCUUUCAGCAGGGAAGAAAAAAUGACGGUACCUGCAGAAGAAGCGACGGCUAAAUACGUG